CCUACGGGUGGCAGCAGUAGGGAAUAUUGCUCAAUGGGGGAAACCCUGAAGCAGCAACGCCGCGUGGAGGAUGAAUGUUUUAGGAUUGUAAACUUCUUUUGUUAGAGAAGUUUAUGAAGGCAUCUAACGAAUAAGCACUGUCUUACUUCGUGCCAGCUGCCGCGGUAAUAAGGAGGGUGCAAGCGUUAUUCGGAUUAACUGGGCGUUAUGAGGGCGUAUGGGGGGUAAUAAGUCAGAUGUGAAAUCCUUAAGCUUAACUACAGAACUGCAUUUGAAACUGUUAAUUUGGAGUGUGGGAGAGGUAGGUGGAAUUCGUGGUGUAGCGGUAAAAUCCGUAGAGAUCAAGAAGAAUUCUCAUUGCGAAGGCGACCUGCUGGAACAUUACUGACGCUGAUGCACGAAAGCGUGGGGAGCAAACAGGAUUAGAUACCCUAGUAGUC
Molecule: ribosomal RNA, 440 nt
Filed under: uncultured bacterium
Lineage: Bacteria
Description: partial 16S ribosomal RNA
Rfam family: Bacterial small subunit ribosomal RNA
Source: RNAcentral